This 609-nucleotide long non-coding RNA is filed under the name Marmota monax (woodchuck). Lineage: Eukaryota; Metazoa; Chordata; Mammalia; Rodentia; Sciuridae. The record is from RNAcentral.
UCAGUACAUUUUUUUGUGUGUUUGUGUGUGUGGUGCUGGGGAUUAGAACCCAGGGCCUUGUGCAUGCAAGGCAAGCACUCUACCAACUGAGCUAUAUCCCCAGCCCAAUGUAGUUCUUUAUUUGGGUGGGGGAGUUAAGAACUCAGGGCACUGAGCCACUGAGCCACAUCCCCAUCCCUAAUUGUAUUUUAUUUAGAGACAGGAUUUGAGUUGCUUAGUAUCUCGCUACUGCAGAGGCUGGCUUUGAACUCCUGUCCUCCUGCUUCAGCCUCCUGACCUGCUGGAGUAACAGGCAUGUGUCACCACACCCGGCAAGUCAAUACAUAGUUCUUUUAUGUACAGGAAGAUGAACCAAGUCAUUAGUCAGAGGGAUUAAAUAUUCUUGUUAUAUAUCAAAAUAGUUUCAUUUUUGAUAUCUGUGAUGCAUGUUGCACUUUUUCCAGAGAAAGACAGGUAUGACUGCAUAUGGGGACAUUGUCAUGGCCUUUUGCAAAUGCUACUUCAUAGGAUGUGGCUCUACUGAACUAAUGUGCUGUAGUUAACUAACCGGGUGUAGCAACACAGAUGGCUACUCAAUAGCUUUCUCCUCUUCCCUACAUAGAGAACCCC